UGGGGAAUAUUGCACAAUGGGCGGAAGCCUGAUGCAGCGACGCCGCGUGAGGGAUGACGGCCUUCGGGUUGUAAACCUCUUUCAGUAGGGACGAAGCGUAAGUGACGGUACCUGCAGAAGAAGCACCGGCUAACUACGUGCCAGCAGCCGCGGUAAUACGUAGGGUGCGAGCGUUGUCCGGAAUUACUGGGCGUAAAGGGCAUCUAGGCGGUUAAACUAGUUGAAGGUGAAAACCUGUGGCUCAACCAUAGGCUUGCCUACAAAACUGUAUAACUAGAGUACUGGAAAGGUGGGUGGAACUACACGAGUAGAGGUGAAAUUCGUAGAUAUGUGUAGGAAUGCCGAUGAUGAAGAUAACUCACUGGACAGCAACUGACGCUGAAGUGCGAAAGCUAGGGGAGCAAACAGG
RNAcentral lists this ribosomal RNA (409 nucleotides) under Verrucomicrobiota bacterium. Its description in RNAcentral is "Verrucomicrobia bacterium partial 16S ribosomal RNA". It matches the Rfam family "Bacterial small subunit ribosomal RNA", at positions 355 to 776 of the family's 1533-position model. Lineage: Bacteria; Pseudomonadati; Verrucomicrobiota. The record is from RNAcentral.